This 912-nucleotide ribosomal RNA is filed under the name Triticum aestivum (bread wheat). RNAcentral's name for it is "partial small subunit ribosomal RNA". The record is from RNAcentral. Lineage: Eukaryota; Viridiplantae; Streptophyta; Magnoliopsida; Poales; Poaceae.
AUGUCCGGCUACCCCUACGGUGGCGCCGGAGGAGGAGGAGGCGGCGGCUACGGGGCCCCUCCGCCCUACGGCUCCUCCCCCGCCCCCUCGGCCCCGCCCUACGGCGAUAAGCCCCCCAAGGAAGGCAAGGCCUCCUCCCCCUACUACGCCUCCCCGCCCUCCUCCCAGCCCCAGUCCUACGGCGGCGGCGGCUACGGGGCCCCGCCCGCCGGCCAGCCCCAGUCCUACGGCGGCGGCGGAGGCUACGGUGCUCCGCCCGCGGGCCAGUCCUACGGCGCCCCGCCUCCCUCGUCGGCGCCCUACGGGGCCCCGCCCCCCGCGGCAGCGCCGUAUGGGGCCGCUGGCGGGUACGGGAGCCCGUUCGCGGCGCUCGUGCCGUCGGCGUUCCCGCCGGGGACGGACCCCAACGUCGUGGCGUGCUUCCAGGCCGCCGACCGCGACGGCAGCGGGACCAUCGACGACAAGGAGCUGCAGUCCGCGCUCUCCGGCUACAACCAGAGCUUCAGCCUCCGCACCGUCCACCUUCUCAUGUACCUCUUCACCAACACCAACGUCCGCAGGAUCGGGCCCAAGGAGUUUACUUCUGUUUUUUACAGUCUUCAGAACUGGAGGUCUAUAUUUGAGAGGUUUGACCGUGACCGAAGUGGUAAAAUUGAUGCAUCGGAGCUGCGCGAUGCUCUUCUCAGUCUGGGUUAUUCAGUUUCUCCAACUGUGCUAGACUUGCUCGUGUCUAAAUUCGACAAGACUGGAGGCAUGAGCAAAGCAGUUGAAUAUGACAACUUUAUUGAGUGUUGCCUUACGGUCAAGGGUCUGACUGAGAAGUUCAAGGAGAAGGACACGUCUUACUCCGGGUCUGCAACUUUCAGUUACGAGGCAUUCAUGUUGACUGUGCUCCCUUUCAUCAUCGCUUGA